ACGGGAGGCAGCAGUGGGGGAUAUUGCACAAUGGGGGAAACCCUGAUGCAGCGACGCCGCGUGAGUGAAGAAGUAAUUCGUUAUGUAAAGCUCUAUCAGCAGGGAAGAAAAUGACGGUACCUGACUAAGAAGCUCCGGCUAAAUACGUGCCAGCAGCCGCGGUAAUACGUAUGGAGCAAGCGUUAUCCGGAUUUACUGGGUGUAAAGGGAGCGUAGACGGCGAGGCAAGUCUGAUGUGAAAGCUAUGGGCUCAACCCAUAAACUGCAUUGGAAACUGUCUUGCUUGAGUGUCGGAGAGGUAAGCGGAAUUCCUAGUGUAGCGGUGAAAUGCGUAGAUAUUAGGAGGAACACCAGUGGCGAAGGCGGCUUACUGGACGAUAACUGACGUUGAGGCUCGAAAGCGUGGGGAGCAAACAGGAUUAGAUACCCUGGUA
RNAcentral lists this ribosomal RNA (434 nucleotides) under uncultured Lachnospiraceae bacterium. RNAcentral describes it as "bacterial SSU rRNA". It matches the Rfam family "Bacterial small subunit ribosomal RNA", at positions 341 to 792 of the family's 1533-position model. Lineage: Bacteria; Bacillati; Bacillota; Clostridia; Lachnospirales; Lachnospiraceae. The record is from RNAcentral.